RNAcentral lists this ribosomal RNA (249 nucleotides) under Mycoplasmopsis pullorum. RNAcentral describes it as "Mycoplasma pullorum partial 23S ribosomal RNA". It matches the Rfam family "Bacterial large subunit ribosomal RNA", at positions 1184 to 1443 of the family's 2925-position model. The record is from RNAcentral. Lineage: Bacteria; Bacillati; Mycoplasmatota; Mycoplasmoidales; Metamycoplasmataceae.
AAACACGAUACCGAAGCUACGGGUAGAUCUGUACGUUAGAGGAGCGUUCCUAGGGCGGUGAAGCUAAACCGUGAGGAUUAGUGGAGCGUUAGGAAGUGAGAAUGCCGGUAUGAGUAACGAUUCGUGGUGAGAAUCCACGACGCCUAUUGGGAAAGGUUUCCUGGGGAAGGUGCGUCCACCCAGGGUUAGUCAGGACCUAAGGAGAGGCUGAAAAGCGUAUUCGAUGGAUAACAGGUUAAUAUUCCUGUA